CGGGAUGUAGUGCAGAUUGGCUGCACACCUGGAUUGGGGGCAGGGGCGACAGGUUCGAGUCCUCCCAUCCCGAC
This 74-nucleotide transfer RNA is filed under the name Arthrobacter sp. Its description in RNAcentral is "tRNA-Pro(tgg)". The record is from RNAcentral. Lineage: Bacteria; Bacillati; Actinomycetota; Actinomycetes; Micrococcales; Micrococcaceae.